UUAAGUUCAGCGGGUAUCCCUACCUGAUCCGAGGUCAAAGACGGUAAAUGUGCUUGUUGGACGCGAGCCGUAGCCCCUCGAGAAGCGCAAUGUGCUGCGCGAGAGGAGGCAAGGACCGCUGCCAAUGAAUUUGGGGCGAGUCCACGCCCGGAGGCGGGACAGACGCCCAACACCAAGCUAGGCUUGAGGGUGUAAAUGAC
RNAcentral lists this unclassified non-coding RNA (200 nucleotides) under Ascomycota sp. Its description in RNAcentral is "partial internal transcribed spacer 2". Lineage: Eukaryota; Fungi; Ascomycota. The record is from RNAcentral.